CCUGGGUGGUAAUUGAUGUCCCACCCCUCUGAGGACAGCCCAGCUGAAAUCCAGCAGGGGCCCUCAGGCCAGGAUCUUAGUGGUGGGUGCUGGGAUAUGAACUCUAUGUUGUCUUCUCUGGAUGGUCUUUCCAUUUUAAAGAUGGGGAAAUGGAGUCACCAGGAGCCUUGCCCAAGGUUAGGCCAUGUCCAUGGCAAAAGAUUCAGAAGUACCCAAGAAUCUGAUCUGUGACCCUUCCAUGGCCUUCUGGAUAAAGUCCGAGGAUCUAACCAGUGGUUGAAGCCCUCCCCUGAUGGCUCUGACUGACGUGACGUGGCCCGUUUCCCCAGUCAGAUGGCAGGCUGCUGGAGGGCAGUGAUGGUGACUCAUGCCUUGGUCCUGUGUGGCCCGCCCCCAGCUGGGCUGGCAGACUUCACAGAAGGCGGGAGAGAAUGAUGGCCGUGCUGACUGCACGCGUGGCCAUCUAAGGUUUGGAUUCUGGCCUUCACUCUGUUGCUGUGUGAACCGGGCACGCUGCUUCACUGUUUGGAGUCUCAACGUCCUCAUCCACCAAAUGGGCAUAAUAAUAGUGUCUGCUUAGGUUACUGUGAGGAUUAAGUACAAUGACCUGUGGUAAGUGCUCAGCCUGGUGCCUGGCAUGGGGCCUUAGAGAAUCAAGGCUCCACGAUCCUUUAUCCCAAACUUGGGGCCAGAGGUUUCAGAAUUCCGAGUUUUUCAGAUUUUAGAAAUAUACCAUACACAAUACAACCCAGCCAAGUGGCAGGGUUUCUAUUAAAAAACAACAACAGGGUGCCUGGGUGGCUCAGUUGGUUGAGCGACUGCCUUCGGCUCAGGUCAUGAUCCUGGAGUCCCGGGAUCGAGUCCCGCAUCAGGCUCCCUGCUCGGCAGGGAGUCUGCUUCUCCCUCUGACCCUCCUCCCUCUCAUGCUCUCUGUCUCUCAUUCUCUC
Mirounga angustirostris (Northern elephant seal) is the source of this 947-nucleotide long non-coding RNA. RefSeq lists it as uncharacterized. The record is from RefSeq and is a predicted model, not a curated record. The transcript has 3 exons. Lineage: Eukaryota; Metazoa; Chordata; Mammalia; Carnivora; Phocidae.